GUCGGUGUGCUUUAGUUGGCUAUAAUGAAUUCCAAUUCCUGCAAUCCCAGGACUAAAAUUGUAAUUGACCCGAGUUCGAUCCUCGGUGCCGACC
Mytilinidion resinicola is the source of this 94-nucleotide non-coding RNA. NCBI's taxonomy places the organism in Eukaryota, Fungi, Ascomycota, Dothideomycetes, Mytilinidiales, Mytilinidiaceae. The record is from the annotation of a RefSeq genome assembly.